RNAcentral lists this ribosomal RNA (486 nucleotides) under uncultured bacterium. RNAcentral describes it as "bacterial SSU rRNA". It matches the Rfam family "Bacterial small subunit ribosomal RNA", at positions 29 to 507 of the family's 1533-position model. The record is from RNAcentral.
AUUGAACGCUGGGCGGCAGUGCCUUACACAUGCAAGUCGAACGGCAGCACGGGGCAACCUGGUGGCGAGUGGCGAACGGGUGAGUAAUGCAUCGGAACGUACCCGGAAGGUGGGGGAUAACGUAGACGAAAGUUACGCUAAUACCGCAUAUUCUGUGAGCAGGAAAGAGGGGGACCUUCGGGCCUCUCGCUUUCGGAGCGGCCGAUGUCAGAUUAGCUAGUUGGUGAGGUAAAGGCUCACCAAGGCGACGAUCUGUAGCGGGUCUGAGAGGAUGAUCCGCCACACUGGGACUGAGACACGGCCCAGACUCCUACGGGAGGCAGCAGUGGGGAAUUUUGGACAAUGGGCGCAAGCCUGAUCCAGCCAUGCCGCGUGAGUGAAGAAGGCCUUCGGGUUGUAAAGCUCUUUCGGCCGGGAAGAAAUCGCACAGGCUAAUAACCUGUGUGGAUGACGGUACCGGAAUAAGAAGCACCGGCUAACUACGUG